CUGGCCACCGGUCCCCGGUCACUGCCGCCGGCCACCGGUCUCCGGUCACCGCCGCCGGCCACCAGUCUCCGGCCACCGCCGCCGGCCACCACCGCCGGCCACCACCGCUGCCAAUCACCAACCACCACUGCCUCCACCAGCAUUGGCAAUUUUGCACUGCCCCUCCUAAUCUUUUAAUUUUUUAUAUAUAGUGUUAUUUACUUCUAUAGUCUUUUUGUUUUGGUCAGUGAACUAAUUCACCCAAAAGUCAUUCGUCUCUUUUUUUUUCUCCUCUUCUGCCUCUCUCUCUCUUGCUCCUCCGUAGCCUCAAAAUUGGUACCUUAACCCAAUCUUUGCCGUUUCUACCGCCAGCAGUUUCCUGCUACCUUCUUCCACUGGAUCAACCGAUCAUAUUUUCUUACACCAAUCGUUUAUUCUAUAAUCAACAAUUAUUCUAUGUCUCUACCUCUGAUUUUGUCUCAUCUCAUCACCAAUGGUUACCUGAAUGGACAGAGCUACUCUAACUGUCUCGACGAAUGGUUGCUCCUCAGAUUCUAGUUCAAUUCCUGAAAGCGAUUUCUUAUGGGUUUUUCAGAUUAACUCUUCGCCUUGUUGAUGACCGACCAGAAUUAAUUGGGAAUGCAGAAUCUUCUAUUGGAUGCACAUGCACUCACUGGUUCGAAAACACUUCACAUCACCAAGGUAUAUGAGGAAGAAUAUGUUUGGAUACACUUGUAUCUUAAACAGGAUCCGAGUGAGAUAAUGCCAAACACUUAGGAUCCGCGUCCUUUUGACAUUUUAGAUUACUCAUUUGCCCUUAAAUUUUUUUUUUCUCUUCUCCCUUUCUUUCGACGUAGGGGGUAAUAUGUGGAAUUUUUUGCCAAAUUUCUUUUUUUUUUUGCUUUUGUAUUCCCCAAUUAAUAGUAUAGAUGAUUCCGUGAUUAUGUAUAAUUAGCAAAUUAUUAUUGAUUAUGUUUAAUUAACAAAUGACUGUAGGAGUAUAAUUAUGAACAAAAUAAGUUUUAUU
Camelina sativa (false flax) is the source of this 1006-nucleotide long non-coding RNA. RefSeq lists it as uncharacterized. The record is from RefSeq and is a predicted model, not a curated record. NCBI's taxonomy places the organism in Eukaryota, Viridiplantae, Streptophyta, Magnoliopsida, Brassicales, Brassicaceae.